This 439-nucleotide ribosomal RNA is filed under the name uncultured bacterium. RNAcentral describes it as "partial 16S ribosomal RNA". It matches the Rfam family "Bacterial small subunit ribosomal RNA", at positions 338 to 795 of the family's 1533-position model. The record is from RNAcentral.
CCUACGGGUGGCUGCAGUGGGGGAUAUUGCACAAUGGGGGGAACCUUGAUGCAGCGACGCCGCGUGGGCGAUGGAGUGCUUCGGCAUGUAAAGCCCUAUCAGCAGGGAAGAAAAUUACGGUACCUGACUAAGAAGCCCCGGCUAAAUCCGUGCCAGCAGCCGCGGUCAUACGUAUGGGGCAAGCGUUAUCCGGAUUUAUUGGGUUUAAAGGGUGCGUAGGCGGACUGUUAAGUCUGCGGUAAAAGCCCGGGGCUCAACCCCGGCGAGCCGUUGAAACUGGCUGUCUUGAGAUGUCGAGAGGUAGGCGGAAUGCGCGGUGUAGCGGUGAAAUGCUUAGAUAUUGCGCAGAACUCCGAUUGCGAAGGCAGCAUACCGGAGGCGAUCUGACGCUGAGGCACGAAGGCGUGGGUAUCGAACGGGAUUAGAUACCCCAGUAGUC